ACCACAGGGCACCACCAUGCUG
This 22-nucleotide microRNA is filed under the name Gallus gallus (chicken). RNAcentral describes it as "gga-miR-6612-5p". Lineage: Eukaryota; Metazoa; Chordata; Aves; Galliformes; Phasianidae. The record is from miRBase by way of RNAcentral.